RNAcentral lists this long non-coding RNA (1137 nucleotides) under Citrus sinensis (sweet orange). Its description in RNAcentral is "long non-coding RNA (CSIN_LNC000935)". Lineage: Eukaryota; Viridiplantae; Streptophyta; Magnoliopsida; Sapindales; Rutaceae. The record is from RNAcentral.
UUGAUGGGUAAAAAAAUACAACAACCAAACAGGAAAACCAAAUUAAUGAUAAAUAAACUGCAUAAUGCUAACCUCCAAAGUCACAGCAAAUUCAUCAAGCAAAACAAAAAGUCAUCUUUCCAAUACUAAUAAACCAGAAAUACAUCAGCCAAAUGGUUGAUUGCGAAUUUAAUACAAAGGAUACUGGCUUUAAUGUGGUAAUUUACAAAAAAAAAAAAAAAUAUCACAGCAGUUUGCUAUGCAUGUCCGCUUUCUUCAACCCAAAUUCCCUAGCUUUACUAAGUUGCUCAGCAUCCACUCUCAAUCUUUGAAAAGCGAUACUCGAUAUCCCUUGCUGUGUUUGCCACCUCAGUGAGUCCAAUUUUGUCUUUUGCUUCUCAAUCCCCUUAGAAAUCUCAGCCAUCUCGUCAUAACGCCGGAAGUGUGAGGGAGAGAGAAGCUGGUGAGGCAAGCCGGAAGCGUGAGGGAGCUUCUGGAAGCGUGAGGGAGAGAGAAGCUGGUGAGGCACGCCGGAAGCCGUGAGGGAGAGAGGAAAGUGAGGACUGGAGAUAACUUGAUAAGAUUUCCCUCUGCACUAAGCGAUAAAUGAGUCUUUCUUUAUUCAUUUUUUAUUCAUUCUUUUCUUAUUUUAAUGUCUUUCUUUAUUCAUUUUUUAUUCAUUUUUUUCUUAUUUUAAUGUUUUAUGUAGUGAGAGGAACGAGAAGCAAAACGGCAGGAGAGAAUGCGUUUCUCUCGUCAUUCUCUCGUUCCUCUCGCUCCUUAGCAUUUUCCUUGAAAAAAUAAUUAAGGUAAGAAAAUAAGUAGUUAUUUGGUUCAGCACUUACCAGCAAGUUUUCCGAAACUGAGAACAUAUUCUGGAGUUGUGGCCGUAAAAUCGGAACAAAAUUUCUCGCCAGUUCCUCCUUAAUUUCUAGUCAACUAACUUAACUACCCGUUAGUUCUUACAACAUGAAAGCUUCUUUGAGAAGCCUCUUCUCUAUCAACCCCGAAACAAGUUUCAAUUCUUACAUUGAGACGUGUCUCUGUCUCUUAAAAGACAUCACAAGUCAAAACUUGGUCAUUCAAGGACGUGCCCUCCAUGGCCAUCUAAUUAAAACAGGGAUUCAUAAGGAGAGAUAUUUAACCACUAGGCUUCUG